This 253-nucleotide ribosomal RNA is filed under the name uncultured bacterium. Its description in RNAcentral is "partial 16S ribosomal RNA". It matches the Rfam family "Bacterial small subunit ribosomal RNA", at positions 524 to 776 of the family's 1533-position model. The record is from RNAcentral.
UACGUAGGGUGCGAGCGUUAAUCGGAAUUACUGGGCGUAAAGCGCACGUAGGCGGAUCGUUAAGUCGGGGGUGAAAUCCUGGAGCUCAACUCCAGAACUGCCUUCGAUACUGGCGAUCUCGAGUCCGGAAGAGGUGAGUGGAACUCCUAGUGUAGAGGUGGAAUUCGUAGAUAUUAGGAAGAACACCAGUGGCGAAGGCGGCUCACUGGUCCGGUACUGACGCUGAGGUGCGAAAGCGUGGGGAGCAAACAGG